GCCCUGUGGUUCCUAGAGACAGCUGGAGGUGUUGUUCUGUAGGUCUGGAUUGACGGGCACAGAUUAAAUCUGCGAUUCAAUGCAUGGGAGCUGCUGUUCCAAGCUGCCUUCCAUAGCCCGGUUGCAGAUACAUUG
Gadus morhua (Atlantic cod) is the source of this 135-nucleotide small nucleolar RNA. Ensembl annotates it as small nucleolar RNA SNORA84. The record is from Ensembl. Lineage: Eukaryota; Metazoa; Chordata; Actinopteri; Gadiformes; Gadidae.